Molecule: ribosomal RNA, 504 nt
Filed under: uncultured bacterium
Lineage: Bacteria
Description: bacterial SSU rRNA
Rfam family: Bacterial small subunit ribosomal RNA
Source: RNAcentral
GACGAACGCUGGCGGCGCGCCUAACACAUGCAAGUCGAACGGGACUAUGCGAGAUGAAGUUUUCGGAUGGAAUUUUGUGUAGUUUAGUGGCGGACGGGUGAGUAACACGUGAGCAACCUGCCUUCGAGAGGGGAAUAACGGCUGGAAACGGUCGCUAAUACCGCAUAACAUACGGGAGGGACAUCCCUUUUGUAUCAAAGAUUUAUCGCUCGAAGAUGGGCUCGCGUCCGAUUAGGUAGUUGGUGAGGUAACGGCCCACCAAGCCGACGAUCGGUAGCCGGACUGAGAGGUUGAACGGCCACAUUGGGACUGAGACACGGCCCAGACUCCUACGGGAGGCAGCAGUGGGGGAUAUUGCACAAUGGGGGAAACCCUGAUGCAGCGACGCCGCGUGUAGGAAGACGGUCCUCUGGAUUGUAAACUACUGUCCCAGGGACGAAGAUGACGGUACCUGGGGAGGAAGCUCCGGCUAACUACGUGCCAGCAGCCGCGGUAAUACGUAGG